RNAcentral lists this ribosomal RNA (696 nucleotides) under uncultured Acidobacteriota bacterium. RNAcentral's name for it is "bacterial SSU rRNA". It matches the Rfam family "Bacterial small subunit ribosomal RNA", at positions 61 to 789 of the family's 1533-position model. Lineage: Bacteria; Pseudomonadati; Acidobacteriota. The record is from RNAcentral.
GUCGAACGAGAAAGUGGAGCAAUCCAUGAGUACAGUGGCGUACGGGUGAGUAACACGUGGGUAAUCUACCCUUUGGUGGGGAAUAACUCUGGGAAACCGGAGCUAAUACCGCAUAAUCCCGAGAGGGAAAAGCAGCAAUGCGCCGAAGGAGGAGCCCGCGGCCGAUUAGCUAGUUGGUAGGGUAACAGCCUACCAAGGCAAAGAUCGGUAGCCGGCCUGAGAGGGCACACGGCCACACUGGCACUGAAACACGGGCCAGACUCCUACGGGAGGCAGCAGUGGGGAAUCUUGCACAAUGGGGGAAACCCUGAUGCAGCGACGCCGCGUGAGCGAUGAAGCCCUUCGGGGUGUAAAGCUCUUUCGGCAGGGAAGAUUAUGACGGUACCUGCAGAAGCAGCUGCGGCUAACUACGUGCCAGCAGCCGCGGUAAUACGUAGGCAGCAAGCGUUGUUCGGAGUUACUGGGCGUAAAGGGUGUGUAGGCGGCUUUUUAAGUUUGGUGUGAAAUCUCCCGGCUCAACCGGGAGGGUGCGCCGAAUACUGAGAGGCUAGAGUGCGGGAGAGGAAAGUGGAAUUCCUGGUGUAGCGGUGAAAUGCGUAGAUAUCAGGAGGAACACCGGUGGUGUAGACGGCUUUCUGGACCGUAACUGACGCUGAAACACGAAAGCGUGGGUAGCAAACAGGAUUAGAUACCCUG